Molecule: transfer-messenger RNA, 352 nt
Filed under: Soehngenia longivitae
Lineage: Bacteria; Bacillati; Bacillota; Tissierellia; Tissierellales; Tissierellaceae
Description: Standard tmRNA
Rfam family: transfer-messenger RNA
About the family: Bacterial tmRNA, also known as 10Sa RNA or SsrA, is named for its dual tRNA and mRNA-like properties. Its role is to liberate the mRNA from a stalled ribosome.
Source: Rfam by way of RNAcentral
GGGGGCGAAAUUGGUUUCGACGGGGGUCGUGAAUCAGGAGUAGCGAGUCGUUGUCGCCAAGCAACGUAAAAAGUGGCAACAAAAAAUAAACGCAGAUAAUAAUUACGCAUUAGCAGCUUAAUUUAAGCUGCUCGUUCUAUCUAUGUUGCCCACGGCAUAGAAUAGAGCGUCAAAUUUGUGGGGAACCGAGUCUAGCAAAGCUUUGAGCUAGAAACGGAAUCUAUGAAGCUACUGAAGCUUUCAUCCUGCCAGUAGGAGGUUAGUUUCAGGAAAUUUAAAUUACUGGCUGCGCUCGGAGAAACUCCUGUGGAUCGGUUCUCGGACGUGGGUUCGACUCCCACCGCCUCCACCA